CAUCCCCUGUGGUGUUCGGCAGCCGGCCCGAUGUUCCCUUGAGCCUAUGCUUACGCACCCCGGGGCCGGGUUACGGCAGCCAGUGUGCAUGUCCGCCUCGCAGCGGAAAGCCUGAGGCACCGCUUCGGUCCCACUUGAACCUCACGGUUCAAGGAUUACGGCAGGCACCGGCACUUGCGGGGGAUGC
RNAcentral lists this non-coding RNA (187 nucleotides) under Gammaproteobacteria bacterium. Its description in RNAcentral is "6S RNA". It matches the Rfam family "6S / SsrS RNA". Rfam says of the family: E. coli 6S RNA was the first non coding RNA to be sequenced, but its function was unknown until recently. It consists of 184 nucleotides that fold into an extended hairpin structure with a large single-stranded internal bulge. RNAcentral also lists the same sequence under 1 other name. Lineage: Bacteria; Pseudomonadati; Pseudomonadota; Gammaproteobacteria. The record is from RNAcentral.